GGCCGCCGGGCCGCGGCUGAGGGUGGCGGCGGGCACCGCCGGCGGGGCGCCCCGAGAAGUCUGGCGGCGGGGCGGGUGCCGAGCGAGGAAGCGGCCAAGGUAACGGGGCUCGGCAGCGGCCUGGAGAGGACUCCUACCAGAAGUGUGCUCCGGCUCAGUGAGGAGGAUGCCCCACGUGCCGUGUGUCAUCACACUCCAAACAAGUGUCUCCGUCUCUUCACACCAUGAGAACUUUUUUCCCCAUCAUGGAUGUUUCUUGCCCUGUCAUGAAACGCUGCAAAUGUAAGAUACCCGGGCUCCCAGAGAUAUGAGCACAUGACAACUGGCUGAGUGUGGAAAGAGGCUGCAUCCAUCUGAGGAAGUGAUCUCUGCUUCACUUUGCUUGGACUUGUCAUUACCAAGGUUGGGUACUCCACUGCAUGGAAUACUAGCUCCUUGUUGGUUUGAUGGUGCAGCUUCACACUUAGAGUAAAAUUUAAGCCAAUUGCUACCUUAUGCCUAGACCUCUCAACUAACCUGCUGGGAUCACGUGAUGGAUGGGAUGCUAUGAUGAGGUGGUACAAUGGAGUCACAUACCCAAGUGUCCACAACUGGCCCAAGUUUUGUUGAGGCUGAAGGGGUCCUUUUCCUUGAGAGCCCUUGUGAGCAAAGGCACCUGUUAGAAGUAACUGCAAAAUCUCAUCAACUCCAGCACUACCCAGGCUAAGUGCAGCAUGGCAAAGCAUGGGAAAGCAUUGCCCUGCACUGCUUCUAUCUGCUAUGCAGGCAUGGACCUGAAGAACAGAAAGCAGCUUCUUGGUAGCAACACAAGCAUUUAUUCAGCUGUUCUUGGAGAAACGACUUGGACGACAGGACACAUUAGGAAACCACUGAAGUAAUUAAGCAAAUACACCUAUACAAAGCAACCCAAAUCCAAAAGAAUGAGAAACCCAAGUACAGCAAGACCUCUUCUGCAGUGGCAAGAUCAAGGCUCAUGAGCAGUAUGGAUAUGGCAGCAUUAUGCCUGUCACCCUACCAUUUCAGAUAAGGGCAGGUGUACCAGAGCUCGUGUUACACACACAGGAAGGGGUAAUGCAUGUCCUGGCAGCUCAGUGCAUACACACGUAGGAAGCAGCUGCACCCGAGUAGCCCUGGGUGCCCAAGCUGGCUUGACUAAAAUCCCCGCACUGUGGUGACUACCUGCGACUCAGUUUCAACAAACCAGUGGAUGAAGAAGAAAGGUCUGUCUUUGCCCUUCUUCACCGAAGUCCUCAGUCCUGCUUCCUGAUGAGCAAUACAGCCACUUUUGAACCUUCAGCAGCAUGCUCGAUUUCCUCAGUUAGGCCCAAGUCCUCCCCUGCCUUCCAAGAAGCGGGAGAAGGUCCUCUUGCCCUUCAACCCCUAUUCAUGGAAACAGCCAACAAUAACCAGCACUUCAUUACAGAGGGACCAGAGACACUUCCCAGCUUGUGAAGGUGCAUGACUGUAGCACUCUGACUGGAAGCACAUUCCCAAAAGGUAUGAACUGACCACAAAAUACACACUCUGAACAGAGGGGUUUAGUCACACAGUUAUUGUAGAACACUGGGACUCAACAGAGUCCAUAUCUGGUACAAGGUGCCCAGUGCCAGAGGGUACAUCAUUUCAAUUAAUGAAAAAUUGCUCUCCAAUUAACACCAACAAUUUUUAGUGAAGACGACCAUUUAGUCCCUCCCAGAAUACUGAUGCUUGAUCCCUCUGUAGUGCUAUGCAUUGAUUUACUGAGCAGCUGCUCUUCUGUGUUUAAUUAGCAUGUAUGAAAUUAAUAGUGUUGCAUGGAGGGGUUGUCCUAGCUGCUUGCCUGCACAUAGCUGGUGUCAGUGAACUCAGGGUGAAUUUCACACUGCCAUCUAGCGAUGCAUGUCCAUUUUCCCUGCUAGGUACAGAUCACCCCUAUUUGAACACUUAAGCAUUAGAUAACAUAUUGUGGAGAAGAGCAGAUUAUUGUCUGCUUUAGGGAUUUCUAUUCUCUGCUUCAGAUCUCAUCCACAUUUUACCUGUAUUGAAUAGGCACCCAUAGAGUGUACUCAUGUAAAUGUAGAGAGUACUUUAAAAUGGCAGUGUUAUUCAUGACUAGAAUUAUACAGACCAGUCUAGUCUGCCAGGGAUUCUGGAAAGGACCUGUUACAAGACACAUAUAAUGUAGUUUUUACAUUCAAAUGUAAUUUUUUUUUUUUUACCCUUUGCUGUUAGAAUAUAUUGUACCAAAAACCUGACAGUACAGACUUAAAGGGAGAGAAAACGUUUUCAACUUGAGAUAUUUAAUAGAGCUGGUUAUUUACAAGAAAAAAAAAAUAUUGAAGUAUAUUUGACACCUGUCAACUGGAAGUAAAACUUCAUACUGCCACAUUAAUAGACUUGCCAAAACUCAGCCAAACAUCAUCUUACCUAAGUUUUCCACAUUAAUUUUCCUUAAGCAGAAGAUACACUAGGGAAACAUGCUGUCAACCCAAAGGCCAGAGGAGUAAUCACCAAAUAAAACUAGUCUUAGAAUAGAGUGUGCCAAGCACCCACCUUAACUGACAAUAUCCGUAAUGUGCUGAAGGCACUGAUAUUCAGAAAAGGACAUGAGCUAAGCUGAGGAGCAUUUUUCACAUUGCAUCUACCAUGCCCUAUCUGAGACGUGUGGCUCAAGGUGUUAAUAAUCUCUCUCCAUUGCUGUGCACAGGGCAAGAAAACCACAGAUGCAGUGUCUCCACCACCUAGUUUGAAUUUUCACAUAGGCAAGUCCACCAGUGUUUGCAAAGCCUUCAUGUGAGCCUGUAAGGGAUGACUCCACACCAUCAUUUACUGUUGUUUCAUUACCCCUUUGCUCUAAAAGACACAGGAGCUUUAAGGCAUUUUGUGCUCUUGUAGGGGUCCAUCACUCCAUAAGCCCCUUGUUACCAUUGCACUUCAUGAAUUGCUGGCUAGCACUUGGGACAGAAGCGUUUCGCAAGGCAGGAGUGAUCAGAAACUUUGCUUCCGUGCUGGAGGAUACUGCUCCUACAGAAGGUCCAGCUGAACAGCAUGCUCCUAAUCUGCCUCAGCACAGCCAGACAACAACUGAUAGAAGCAUUUUGUGCUAGCUAAGGUGGUUUCGUACUGAAUAGAUAAGGAAGGACUUGCAUGCUGUUUUGUCAGUUGAGUUGCAGACACAAUAAAGUGGAAGUCAAUAACAGCUCAGACAGACAGACACAGAUCAAGGCAAGAACAUAAGUUUCUGAUGAAAGCAGGCAUAGAAAUUAUUUCACCUGCUUUAAUAAUUCUCUGUACACCACUGAAUGUUCCAAUUACAAUGAUUUACAAGGGACAGCUGUAUCCAUACAGUUUUCCAUUUAGGCACAGCUCUUCAAUAUACACAACACUCACAUCAUUACACACAAUCACUAACAACAGUAAGUUUUCUUAUACAGAUGAACCCUUAGUACAAAUCAGUUUGUUGUUUCCUAUGAUCAUACAUAGUCAGUACCAAUGUCUAUAGGUUAAAGUCCUCUAAUAAUUCCUAUGGCAAGAUCCUUCUCUCUAUAGCUCAUACAUUUUGUCAAGCUCCCACCACCACAAGAGAGAUUCUGUUUGAGACAUGUUUUGAAAAUUAAAGUCUUGGUAGCUGCAGUUGCAAAUUGACUGGGCAGGCUAUUGUUUUCCAAGCUCUGAUAGCUUUGUAUUUCUAUGUGUGGCUCCCUAUCACAGAACUGAGGUGCCUUUUGAAGGGAAUAUUAGAGCUUCCUUGCAAUCCAAAUGACAGUAAACAUAAAUAUCUGAACCAUCCAAAUGAGAGUAAACAUAAAAAUUUUAAAUAAAAAAUUAACAUAUCUGUUAAAA
Long non-coding RNA from Tyto alba (common barn owl), 3822 nucleotides. RefSeq lists it as uncharacterized. The record is from RefSeq and is a predicted model, not a curated record. The transcript has 6 exons. Lineage: Eukaryota; Metazoa; Chordata; Aves; Strigiformes; Tytonidae.